This 433-nucleotide ribosomal RNA is filed under the name uncultured Coriobacteriaceae bacterium. Its description in RNAcentral is "partial 16S ribosomal RNA". It matches the Rfam family "Bacterial small subunit ribosomal RNA", at positions 341 to 792 of the family's 1533-position model. Lineage: Bacteria; Bacillati; Actinomycetota; Coriobacteriia; Coriobacteriales; Coriobacteriaceae. The record is from RNAcentral.
ACGGGAGGCAGCAGUGGGGAAUUUUGCGCAAUGGGGGAAACCCUGACGCAGCAACGCCGCGUGCGGGAUGACGGCCUUCGGGUUGUAAACCGCUUUCAGCAGGGACGAUUAUGACGGUACCUGCAGAAGAAGCUCCGGCUAACUACGUGCCAGCAGCCGCGGUAAUACGUAGGGAGCGAGCGUUAUCCGGAUUCAUUGGGCGUAAAGCGCGCGUAGGCGGAUGCCUAAGCGGGACCUCUAAUCCGAGGGCUCAACCCCCGGCCGGGUCCCGAACUGGGCGUCUCGAGUUAGGUAGGGGCAGGCGGAAUUCCAUGUGUAGCGGUGAAAUGCGCAGAUAUAUGGAAGAACACCGAUGGCGAAGGCAGCCUGCUGGGCCUCAACUGACGCUGAGGUGCGAAAGCGUGGGGAGCGAACAGGAUUAGAUACCCUGGUA